Molecule: long non-coding RNA, 259 nt
Organism: Helianthus annuus (common sunflower)
Lineage: Eukaryota; Viridiplantae; Streptophyta; Magnoliopsida; Asterales; Asteraceae
Exons: 2
Source: RefSeq, a predicted model, not a curated record
CCCAUUCCCUCCCAAAUCACACCAGUACUGCUCCCCCAAACCCUAGAUUGACGCCGCACCAUCUCGACGGACCACCUCCCUAGCGCCGCCGCACCACCUUCUCAGCACUGCCGGACCUCCAGUUGAGACUUGGGAAAAAAGAUUAGUGAACGUGGGGGUGGGGGUGGAAAUAGAAUCGUCAGGAACAGUAAAGUGUAAAUCGGAAACGAAUUUCGAAGUUCCAACUACAACUUGUUAUGCGUUCUUUCUCAACUAAAUC